AAAUUGAAGAGUUUGAUCAUGGCUCAGAUUGAACGCUGGCGGCAGGCCUAACACAUGCAAGUCGAACGGUAACAGGAAGCAGCUUGCUGCUUUGCUGACGAGUGGCGGACGGGUGAGUAAUGUCUGGGAAACUGCCUGAUGGAGGGGGAUAACUACUGGAAACGGUAGCUAAUACCGCAUAACGUCGCAAGACCAAAGAGGGGG
This 204-nucleotide ribosomal RNA is filed under the name Escherichia coli. Its description in RNAcentral is "partial 16S ribosomal RNA". It matches the Rfam family "Bacterial small subunit ribosomal RNA", at positions 1 to 210 of the family's 1533-position model. RNAcentral also lists the same sequence under 5 other names. Lineage: Bacteria; Pseudomonadati; Pseudomonadota; Gammaproteobacteria; Enterobacterales; Enterobacteriaceae. The record is from RNAcentral.